GUAACUGUCAUUGGAUGGGAUUUUGAAUGUUAAUGCCUGACUGGGUACAUACACUGUCCAUCAAAUGAAACCGGAAGAAAGGUUACAUAUCGAAACAAUUUGUAAGGAAGGAUAGUGGUGUGUCCUUACCGAGCUGUUACGCCAUGCCAACUUCCCCGGUAAAGACACGGAUCCCGCUCACGAGCUUCGGUCAUCUGAUCACCGAGGUGAAGAGACAGUUGUUUGGUAUGGAGGCUCCAGCUACUGUUAACCUGACUGGCUGGAGGAGACAUUUCAACAGCUACACACUACAGGGCCGACGCAACUUUGUCCUGGCUACCUAUGGUGUCCUAGCGUUGUCAGCAGCAGCCUAUAUGAUACACAAACGGAGUAAAGAGGACCCCAGAGUAGCCAGCCCCACUGCCUGACUGACACCCUCUCUCAAUGUUCAAUGUCCAAUGUCCAACGCUUUAUUGACCUGAUAUUCACAUUGUUUUCCAAUACUACCAAAUCAGAGAUUCAUAACAGCAGCGCUCUCUCUCUCUUCCGCUCCCUCCCUCUCUUCCGCUCCCUCCCCUCCCUCUCUCUCUCACUCUCUCCCUCCCUCUUCCGCUCCCUCCCUCUCUCCCUCCCUCUUCCGCUCCCUCCCUCCCCUCCCU
Molecule: long non-coding RNA, 638 nt
Organism: Salmo salar (Atlantic salmon)
Lineage: Eukaryota; Metazoa; Chordata; Actinopteri; Salmoniformes; Salmonidae
Source: RefSeq, a predicted model, not a curated record